UUGCACUGGCCGGUCCAGGGUU
This 22-nucleotide microRNA is filed under the name Triops cancriformis. RNAcentral describes it as "tcf-miR-10313". The record is from miRBase by way of RNAcentral. Lineage: Eukaryota; Metazoa; Arthropoda; Branchiopoda; Notostraca; Triopsidae.